AUACGUAGGGUGCAAGCGUUAAUCGGAAUUACUGGGCGUAAAGCGUGCGCAGGUGGUUUUGUAAGUCAGAUGUGAAAUCCCCGGGCUUAACCUGGGAACUGCGUUUGAAACUGCAAGGCUAGAGUGUGGCAGAGGGGGGUGGAAUUCCGCGUGUAGCAGUGAAAUGCGUAGAUAUGUGGAGGAACACCGAUGGCGAAGGCAGCCCCCUGGGUCAGCACUGACGCUCAGGCACGAAAGCAUGGGGAGCAAACAGGAUUAGAAACCCGGGUAGUCC
RNAcentral lists this ribosomal RNA (274 nucleotides) under uncultured bacterium. RNAcentral describes it as "partial 16S ribosomal RNA". It matches the Rfam family "Bacterial small subunit ribosomal RNA", at positions 523 to 796 of the family's 1533-position model. The record is from RNAcentral.